RNAcentral lists this transfer RNA (71 nucleotides) under Candidatus Woesearchaeota archaeon. Its description in RNAcentral is "tRNA-Ala". It matches the Rfam family "tRNA". Rfam says of the family: Transfer RNA (tRNA) molecules are approximately 80 nucleotides in length. Their secondary structure includes four short double-helical elements and three loops (D, anti-codon, and T loops). RNAcentral also lists the same sequence under 1 other name. The record is from RNAcentral. Lineage: Archaea; Nanobdellati; Candidatus Woesearchaeota.
GGGCCUGUGGUUGAAUGGUACAAUUCUCGGCUGGCAGUCGAGAGGCCCGGGUUCGAUCCCCGGCAGGUCCA